RNAcentral lists this ribosomal RNA (519 nucleotides) under Koreocerus koreanus. RNAcentral describes it as "partial large subunit ribosomal RNA". The stretch from base 386 to 519 matches the Rfam family "Archaeal large subunit ribosomal RNA", at positions 2542 to 2676 of the family's 2987-position model. The record is from RNAcentral. Lineage: Eukaryota; Metazoa; Arthropoda; Insecta; Hemiptera; Cicadellidae.
ACAUUUCUUUAAGAUUUUAUUUAAGGUAGGUUCUGCCCUAUGAUUAAUUUAAAUGGCUGCAGUAUUUUGACUGUGCAAAGGUAGCAUAAUAAUUAGCUUCUUAAUUAGGGGCUUGUAUGAAUGAAUUAAUGAGAAAUUUAUUUUAUUGUAAUUAUUUUUAUAAAUUAAUUUUUAAGUUAAAAUGCUUAAAUGUAUUAUUGGGACGAUAAGACCCUGUAGAACUUUCAAUUUGUGUUAAUUUGUUUUAAUUUGGGAGUUUAUUAUUUAAAUUAUUAUAAAUUUUUUGCUGGGGUGGCGGAUAAAUAUUAACUUUAUUUUUUUAUAUCAUUAAUUUAUGUUUUUUUGAUCUGGUUAUAUAUCGAUUUUAAGAUUAAGUUACCUCAGGGAUAACAGCGUAAUUUUAAUGGAAAGUUCAUAUUUAUAUUAAAGUUUGCGACCUCGAUGUUGAAUUAAGAUUAAGUUAGGGGGUAGGUUCUUUAAUAUUAGGUCUGUUCGACCUUUAAAUUCUUACAUGAUCUG